AUGGCAACUGCCGAUGAUCUCAAGAAGCUUGAGGAGGAACUCAAGAACCGCGAGUCCAUCAUCCGGACCCGCGAGGAUGAACUACAACGCCAAGCUGAAGAACGGGGGAAGGCUGUCGUCCUCCCUGCGGCCUCCACGUACGCCGCUUCCAUCAAGACCUUCGUCCCCAUCACCCUUGAUCUCCACGACUCCAACUACGCCAAGUGGCGUGAGCUAUUCCUCGUCGCUCUUGGUCGCUACGGUCUCUCCAAUCAUGUUCUCUCAGAGAAUACCCCAACGGACACCUCCCACACCUCUGAUUGGGGUCGCGAUGACUUCACUGUCCUCUCAUGGAUUUAUGGAUCGAUUUCUCUCGAGCUCUUCGGCGUCAUCAUGAAACCAGGUUCCACCGCAAAGCAAGUUUGGGAUGCCAUCGCCAACCUAUUCCGAGACAACAAGAAGAGUCGUGCUCUGGCUCUCGAUGCAGAAUUUCGCAACACAACUCAAGGGGACAUGACGAUCUCCGCCUAUUGUGCCAAGCUUAAGACUCUCUCUGAUGCACUUGAUGAUGUCGAGCAGCCGGUCACCGACGAGACCCUCGUGCUGACCUUGCUUCGCGGCCUCAACGAACAGUACUCACACCUGCCGGCAACAGUGUGCUUCCCGGCGCCGGUGGCGAACGCACUCCACCGCCGAACGAUGGGCGCUCCUUCUCCACUGAUCGCCGCGGCCCAGCACCACUACCUUCUCCAGGAGGCCGCGGAGGAAGCAAUAGUGGCCGCUGCCGUGGCCGUGGCGGGCGUGGUCGUCGCGAUACACCAUGGAUGUACAAUCCAUGGACUGGACAGCCGACGCGUCUCCAUCAGCAACAGAUGCCGUCGCCUCAUUAUCAUCAACCACCAGCAUCGUCGCCCACUUGGUCGCCUCGUCCAUGGCGCCCUACAACUCCUGGGGUACUCGGUCCACGCCCUACCACACCGUCCCCACAAGCGUAUGCAGCAUAUGGUCAUGGUCCUACGGCUCCUUACAACCCUCCAGCGCAUUACAACAACUUCCAGCAACAUGUAG
Molecule: ribosomal RNA, 1047 nt
Filed under: Triticum aestivum (bread wheat)
Lineage: Eukaryota; Viridiplantae; Streptophyta; Magnoliopsida; Poales; Poaceae
Description: partial small subunit ribosomal RNA
Source: RNAcentral